RNAcentral lists this unclassified non-coding RNA (207 nucleotides) under Hevea brasiliensis (rubber tree). Lineage: Eukaryota; Viridiplantae; Streptophyta; Magnoliopsida; Malpighiales; Euphorbiaceae. The record is from RNAcentral.
CUGCCAAUUUCUGCCACUGCCAACCACUGAAUUUGGACCACACAAGGCAACACAGACACUACACUGAAGAAUUGUAAUUAGGGAUUGCAGCUGCAAUGCACAGCCAAAUGCUACCUAGUCCACAACAACCAAGCACAUAACAGCAUACCAGGUUGAAAUAAGACCAUCUCUGAACCACUCUGGCCUCCCAAGUGAUUACUCUCUGUG